RNAcentral lists this microRNA precursor (143 nucleotides) under Gossypium arboreum. RNAcentral describes it as "MIR7502 microRNA precursor family". It matches the Rfam family "MIR7502 microRNA precursor family". The record is from Rfam by way of RNAcentral. Lineage: Eukaryota; Viridiplantae; Streptophyta; Magnoliopsida; Malvales; Malvaceae.
GGUUAAUAAUUUUAUCUAUUUAUACUGUUAAAAACUAGAGUGACUAAUAGAAUAAUCAAACAAUGACAUGGCAUGCCACUUAUACUGCCUACUGUUGUAUGAUGAUUAAUUUUUAACAGUAAAAAUAGAUACAUUUUUUAAUA